GCCGUGAUAGCUCAGCUGGGAGAGCAACAGACUGAAGUUCUGGAGGUUGCCUGUUCAAUCCAGGCUCAUGGUA
Stereum hirsutum FP-91666 SS1 is the source of this 73-nucleotide transfer RNA. It matches the Rfam family "tRNA". Rfam says of the family: Transfer RNA (tRNA) molecules are approximately 80 nucleotides in length. Their secondary structure includes four short double-helical elements and three loops (D, anti-codon, and T loops). Lineage: Eukaryota; Fungi; Basidiomycota; Agaricomycetes; Russulales; Stereaceae. The record is from Rfam.